CCCUUAGAUGUCCUGGGCCGCACGCGUGCUACACUGACGCCUACAGCGAGCACUUUCCAGCCCCGAGAGGCGGCUGGUAAUCAGCAAUAGGCGUCGUGAUGGGGAUAGAUCUUUGGAAUUAUGGAUCUUGAACGAGGAAUGCCUAGUAAGCGCAGGUCAUUAGCCUGCGCUGAUUAAGUCCCUGCCCUUUGUACACACCGCCCGUCGCUCCUACCGAUUUCGAGUGGUCCGGCGAAUCUUUCGGACUGCGCGCGGCCUUGAGUCGUGUCGCGGAAAGUCAGGUAAACCUUAUCACUUAGAGGAAGGAGAAGUCGUAACA
This 319-nucleotide ribosomal RNA is filed under the name uncultured eukaryote. RNAcentral describes it as "partial 18S ribosomal RNA". It matches the Rfam family "Eukaryotic small subunit ribosomal RNA", at positions 1470 to 1796 of the family's 1831-position model. The record is from RNAcentral.